Molecule: ribosomal RNA, 303 nt
Filed under: uncultured bacterium
Lineage: Bacteria
Description: partial 16S ribosomal RNA
Rfam family: Bacterial small subunit ribosomal RNA
Source: RNAcentral
AGCAGUAGCCGCGGUAAUACGUAGGUGGCGAGCGUUGUCCGGAAUCAUUGGGCGUAAAGGGAGCGCAGGCGGGCAUGUAAGUCUUUCUUAAAAGUGCGGGGCUCAACCCCGUGAGGGGAGAGAAACUACUCAUCUUGAGUGCAGGAGAGGAAAGCGGAAUUCCUAGUGUAGCGGUGAAAUGCGUAGAUAUUAGGAAGAACACCAGUGGCGAAGGCGACUUUCUGGACGAAAACUGACGCUGAGGCGCGAAAGCCAGGGGAGCGAACGGGAUUAGAUACCCCCGUAGUCCCUGUCUCUUAUACC